GGGGGCGUAGUUCAAUUGGUUAGAGCGCCGGCCUGUCACGCCGGAGGUUGCGGGUUCAAGCCCCGUCGCUCCCGCCA
RNAcentral lists this transfer RNA (77 nucleotides) under Deltaproteobacteria bacterium RBG_16_50_11. Its description in RNAcentral is "tRNA-Asp". It matches the Rfam family "tRNA". From Rfam's summary of the family: Transfer RNA (tRNA) molecules are approximately 80 nucleotides in length. RNAcentral also lists the same sequence under 6 other names. The record is from RNAcentral. Lineage: Bacteria; Deltaproteobacteria.